RNAcentral lists this ribosomal RNA (497 nucleotides) under uncultured bacterium. RNAcentral's name for it is "partial 16S ribosomal RNA". It matches the Rfam family "Bacterial small subunit ribosomal RNA", at positions 28 to 507 of the family's 1533-position model. The record is from RNAcentral.
GACGAACGCUGGCGGCGUGCCUAAUACAUGCAAGUUGAGCGAUGAAGAUUGGUGCUUGCACCAAUUUGAAGAGCAGCGAACGGGUGAGUAACGCGUGGGGAAUCUGCCUUUGAGCGGGGGACAACAUUUGGAAACGAAUGCUAAUACCGCAUAAUAACUUUAAACAUAAGUUUUAAGUUUGAAAGAUGCAAUUGCAUCACUCAAAGAUGAUCCCGCGUUGUAUUAGCUAGCUGGUGAGGUAAAGGCUCACCAAGGCGAUGAUACAUAGCCGACCUGAGAGGGUGAUCGGCCACAUUGGGACUGAGACACGGCCCAAACUCCUACGGGAGGCAGCAGUAGGGAAUCUUCGGCAAUGGACGAAAGUCUGACCGAGCAACGCCGCGUGAGUGAAGAAGGUUUUCGGAUCGUAAAACUCUGUUGGUAGAGAAGAACGUUGGUGAGAGUGGAAAGCUCAUCAAGUGACGGUAACUACCCAGAAAGGGACGGCUAACUACGUG